UACAGGGGGUGCAAACGUUGCUCGGAAUCAUUGGGCGUAAAGCGCACGUAGGCGGUUCGUUAUGUCGGAUGUGAAAGCCCUCGGCUCAACUGAGGAAGUGCACCCGAAACUGGCGAGCUAGAGUACGAAAGAGGAUCGCGGAAUUCCCGGUGUAGAGGUGAAAUUCGUAGAUAUCGGGAGGAACACCGGUGGCGAAGGCGGCGAUCUGGGUCGAUACUGACGCUGAGGUGCGAAAGCGUGGGGAGCAAACAGG
RNAcentral lists this ribosomal RNA (253 nucleotides) under uncultured bacterium. Its description in RNAcentral is "partial 16S ribosomal RNA". It matches the Rfam family "Bacterial small subunit ribosomal RNA", at positions 524 to 776 of the family's 1533-position model. The record is from RNAcentral.